UUUUCCUUCGGGAGGCAGCGGGGUGUUCCUUCGGGAGGCAGCAGUGGGGAAUUUUCCGCAAUGGGCGCAAGCCUGACGGAGCAACCCCGCGUGAGGGAGGAAUGCCUGUGGGUGGUAAACCUCUUUUUUCAGGGAAGAAGUUUUGACGGUACCUGAGGAAUCAGCAUCGGCUAACUCCGUGCCAGCAGCCGCGGUAAGACGGAGGAUGCAAGCGUUAUCCUGAAUUAUUGGGCGUAAAGCGUCCGUAGGCGGUUUGUAAAGUCUGCUGUCAAAGCUCCCAGCUCAACUGCGAAUCGGCAGUGGAAACUAAUAGACUAGAGAGUGGUAGGGGUAGAGGGAAUUCCUAGUGUAGCGGUGAAAUGCGUAGAUAUUAGGAAGAACACCAGUGGCGAAGGCGCUCUUCUGGGCCAUUACUGACGCUGAUGGACGAAAGAUAGGGGAGCGAAAGGGAUUAGAUACCCCCGUAGUCCUCGCUGUCUCAUGACACUAGGUGUUGGCCGUAUCGACCCGGUCAGUGUCGCAGCUAACGCAUAAG
Molecule: ribosomal RNA, 535 nt
Filed under: uncultured bacterium
Lineage: Bacteria
Description: bacterial SSU rRNA
Rfam family: Bacterial small subunit ribosomal RNA
Source: RNAcentral